RNAcentral lists this microRNA precursor (163 nucleotides) under Oryza brachyantha (malo sina). RNAcentral describes it as "MIR812 microRNA precursor family". It matches the Rfam family "MIR812 microRNA precursor family", at positions 27 to 190 of the family's 205-position model. Lineage: Eukaryota; Viridiplantae; Streptophyta; Magnoliopsida; Poales; Poaceae. The record is from Rfam by way of RNAcentral.
UAUAAUAUUUUGACUAUUCGUCUUAUUUGAAAUUCUUCUACGAUUAAUAUUUUUGUCUUACUAGAUUAAAAAGCAUCAAUAAUACUUUAUGCGUGACUAAUUUUAAGUUUUUGUAUAAAUUUUUCAAAUAAGAUGAAUAGUCAAACGUUGGACAUAAAAAAAC